This 737-nucleotide long non-coding RNA is filed under the name Solanum tuberosum (potato). RNAcentral's name for it is "long non-coding RNA (STUB_LNC000101)". Lineage: Eukaryota; Viridiplantae; Streptophyta; Magnoliopsida; Solanales; Solanaceae. The record is from RNAcentral.
CCACGUCAAUUGAAAUAAUAUGAAAAUUUUAUGAGCAAUCAGUUUCUUCCAAUAUAUCAUAUUUACAUUUUAUAUUAUUAUACUAUAUUAUAAAGCAGGCAAAACUAAUCAUUUUCUCAAUGCAAGCUCUAGAUUGUUUGCAAUCAAAAUAGUGGACCCUUUAAUAAUAUAAAAUAACGUAAAGUAGCACCUGUCAAUUCAAACUUUAUUUUGAUUUAACACAUAUAUAAUAUAUAAUGGUCAUGUAUUAAAAUAUUUUUUGUUAAAUACUAAAGCAACUAUAUUUGACUUUUCAAAAGAUGAAUUCUGCCAAUAUUCAAAAACUUCAUUUAAUAGGAUGAUCAUGCUAGCAAGACACAAAAUUAGGGCGAUAAUGGGGGAGACAGGGGAUUAAACCGAAAUCCGCAAAGAAAAUGAAACCUCACAUUUUAAAAACAACUCCAAUAUAUACAAACAUGAUUAAAAGAAACAAUUGUUAGCUAAGAAAUAAACGAAUGAAGUAUAUAUCACUAGAACAAAUCCCGAACAAAUAAACAUGCACAUAGAUAAACCAGCUAAAGAUCAAAAUAAGCAGAACUAGAAUCCUACACUAAACUAAAGUAGUAGGAACAUUCAUAUACGAAGUAGUAGGAGCAUUCAUAUAUGUUUAGGAGAGACUGCCAAAGAGUAGCCAUAUUUUGAGAUAUAGACAAGCUUAGCAAGGAAGAGGAAAAAGCAUUUUUUCAAGGAACAUACAA